AAUCUGGCCUCUCGGGGUCCGAGUUGUAAUUUGUAGAGGAUGUUUCGGGUACCGCCUCGGUUUAAAUUUCUUGGAACAGAAUGUCAGAGAGGGUGAGAAUCCCGUCUUGGACCGGCGGUAGGGCCUAUGUGAAACUCCUUCGACGAGUCGAGUUGUUUGGGAAUGCAGCUCAAAAUGGGUGGUAAAUUUCAUCUAAAGCUAAAUAUUGGCCAGAGACCGAUAGCGCACAAGUAGAGUGAUCGAAAGAUGAAAAGCACUUUGAAAAGAGAGUUAAACAGUAUGUGAAAUUGUUGAAAGGGAAGCGCUUGCAACCAGACUUGAGCGCGGCGGUUCCCCCUUGCUUCUGCUUGGGUUACUCCGCCGUGUCCAGGCCAACAUCGGUUCUGGGGGUCGGUCAAAGGCCUUGGGAAUGUAUCUACCCACGGGUAGACUUAUAGACCAGGGUGUCAUGUGACCUCCCGGGACCGAGGAACGCGCUCGGCAAUGUUGUCAGCGACCCG
RNAcentral lists this ribosomal RNA (500 nucleotides) under Cladophialophora devriesii. RNAcentral's name for it is "eukaryotic LSU rRNA". It matches the Rfam family "Eukaryotic large subunit ribosomal RNA", at positions 119 to 651 of the family's 3401-position model. The record is from RNAcentral. Lineage: Eukaryota; Fungi; Ascomycota; Eurotiomycetes; Chaetothyriales; Herpotrichiellaceae.